This 29-nucleotide non-coding RNA is filed under the name Rattus norvegicus (Norway rat). Lineage: Eukaryota; Metazoa; Chordata; Mammalia; Rodentia; Muridae. The record is from RNAcentral.
UGCAUCUGACUGUUUCAGCUGCUUGUUGG